This 380-nucleotide ribosomal RNA is filed under the name uncultured eukaryote. RNAcentral describes it as "partial 18S ribosomal RNA". It matches the Rfam family "Eukaryotic small subunit ribosomal RNA", at positions 592 to 976 of the family's 1831-position model. The record is from RNAcentral.
CAAUAGCGUAUAUUAAAGUUGUUGCGGUUAAAAAGCUCGUAGUUGGAUUUCUGCCGAGGACGACCGGUCCGCCCUCUGGGUGUGUAUCUGGUUUGGCCUGGGCAUCUUCUUGGAGAACGUAGCUGCACUUGACUGUGUGGUGCGGUGUCCAGGACUUUUACUUUGAGGAAAUUAGAGUGUUUCAAGCAGGCACACGCCUUGAAUACAUUAGCAUGGAAUAAUAAGAUAGGACCUCGGUUCUAUUUUGUUGGUUUCUAGAACUGAGGUAAUGAUUGAUAGGGAUAGUUGGGGGCAUUCGUAUUUAACUGUCAGAGGUGAAAUUCUUAGAUUUGUUAAAGACGGACUACUGCGAAAGCAUUUGCCAAGGAUGUUUUCAUUGA